Carassius gibelio (silver crucian carp) is the source of this 2639-nucleotide long non-coding RNA. RefSeq lists it as uncharacterized. The record is from RefSeq and is a predicted model, not a curated record. The transcript has 2 exons. NCBI's taxonomy places the organism in Eukaryota, Metazoa, Chordata, Actinopteri, Cypriniformes, Cyprinidae.
GAACAAUCGGGUCCCACCUAGCGAGGACCCCUAAGAUGGCGGCCAUCGCGAUGCCUGUGCGCAAGUCGCAACGGAUGCACUUGUCACGAAGGACACAAGACAGAAGCUCUGUCCCAGACGCUCUCGAGUUACGUUGAGACUGAGGAUUCCCCAAUCUUCCACAAUGGACUUCACAUAGGAUGAACUGUUUCCAGUUUCAGCAAAACAGCAAGAAUUUAUGAAUGGAUGACUGCACCUUAGCACUCUUCACUCCCACUGCAUGCCUCACCUGGGCCACAGAGAAAACAAUGUUGCUGCCUGUACAUGGCAAAAUUAACCUUUAACCUUACAGCUGAAUCAAUGCAGUAACACUGUUAACUACCAAUGAUAUUGUACCAAAUGUUCAGACUGAAUAUACAGAGGAGAACUGGUCCCCAGUGUUUUUGGUUAGUCUGGUUUCUCCAAAGGUUUUUUUUACUCCAGUAUCGACAUCUUACAGUUUUUUCUUAAUUAACCCCUGUUGCCUUUGGCUUGCUUGCUGUAUGUAUGACGACUAAUGCAUUUAACACCAACUAUUAAAACAGUGAGGGUGUUUUUGACAACAUAAACACAAUAGUAUGUCUUUCUGUAAAGAUUCUUUGAAAAUGUUAUGCAUUUUGAAAAAUGUAUAAAUGUCUUACAUAGAUAGUGUGCAUAUUCCUUGAACAUUUAUAUGUAAAAAAAAAAACAGUAGAAUCAUUAUAUUAUAAUUGCAAAUUAUAAUUAUAUAGCAAUUAUUGCUAUCUAUAUAAACUAUCUAGCUGUAUUUUUAGUUACUUUCAGUGCACAAACAACCAUUAUUCACUUACUAUACUAAAUGGUAUAAAUAUAAUAGGCAUACUGACAUACUUCAUGUAAAAUUAAUAUAACAUUCAUUUUACAUAAAAUAAUAAUAUAUAUGUAUAUAAUACAACAAUAACACGGUUCUGCACAAACAAUUGCGAUUUUAUAUCAUUUAGAUUAACAAUAUAAAUUUACACACACACAUCGAGUAGCUGUAUGCUAUGCUGAUACGCGAGUAACAAAAAAAAAAAAAAAAACGAGAAAUGUUUGAUUUCACAACCUAAAGCGCGUCGGCUAUAUACUAGCAUAUGAAACAUGUAAUUUAAAGUACAUAAAUGGUCAUUAUAGCAAAGUUCAAACGACAAAAAUAAAAACGCUAUUUAGCAGGAAUUGUAAUCAGGCGCUAAAAAAUAAUACCCAUUAAUUGUUCGUUGAGCCAAUGGGAUCACUCGGGGUCCUAAGCGGACUCGAUUUCUCGGGCGGACUCGAUUUCUCAUGACACCGGCGCUAAUGAUGUUCGACUUCGGCAGUCAGAGAUCACUAAAAAUAACUUUAAAGAGAUGUGUGAACUUGCAAGCACGAUGUCAGACACUGUAAUAUGCUCUGGUCCCCUCCCUGCUUACCGUGGUGAUGAGAUACAUAGCGGAUUGUCAUCACUCAAUGGCUGGAUGUCUAAGUGGUGCCCACAGAAUAACAUAGGUUUCAUAGACAAUUGGACGAGCUUUUGGGGCAGACCUGACCUGUUUAAAAGAGAUGGUCUUCAUCCCUCCUGGGGUGGCGCCACUCUUCUGUCUAGAAAUAUGGCACAUAGUCUUAGUGUUUAUACUUGACUAACUGGGGCCCAGGUCAGGAAGCAGACAGACUGGCUAAAGGGACCGUCUGCUAGCUGCCUCCCGUCACAGAGGUCAGUUAAUUCUCAGCACAUAGAGACUCUUUCACCUAGAUAUCACACUAUAGAGACUGUGUCUGUUCCCCGAACUAGAAAAUACAAAAAAUGUCCAAACCAAGUUAAGGUUAACAAUUUAAUUGAGGUUCAACAAAUAAAAAACAAAUGCAAUAUGGAUAAACAAAUGAUAAAGAUUGGCUUAUUGAAUAUCAGGUCCAUUUCUACGAAAACACUUUUUGUAAAUAAUAUGAUAACUGAUCAUAAUAUAGAUGUGCUCUGCUUGACAGAAACCUGGCUAAAACUAACUAAUAUUUGUCUGUUUCUCUCUUGUUCCGAGGUCACCGUAGCCACCAGAUCCAGUCUGUGUCCAGAUCAGAGGGUCACUGCAGUCACCCGGAUCCAGUACGUAUUCAGACCAGAUGGUGGAUCAGCACCUAGAAAGGACCUCUACUGCCCUGAAAGACAGCGGAGACCAGGACAACUAGAGCCCCAGAUACAGAUCCCCUGUAAAGACCUUGUCUCAGAGGAGCACCAGGACAAGACCACAGGAAACAGAUGAUUCUUCUGCACAAUCUGACUUUGCUGCAGCCUGGAAUUGAACUACUGGUUUCAUCUGGUCAGAGGAGAACUGGCCCCCCAACUGAGCCUGGUUUCUCCCAAGGUUUUUUUCUCCAUUCUGUCACUGAUGGAGUUUCGGUUCCUUGCCGCUGUCGCCUCUGGCUUGCUUAGUUGGGGUCACUUCAUCUACAGCGAUAUCAUUGACUUGAUUGCAAAUUAAAACAGACACUAUUUCAACUGAACAGAGAUUACAUAACUGAAUUCAAUGAUGAACUGCCUUUAACUAUCAUUUUGCAUUAUUGAGACACUGUUUUCCAAAUGAAUGUUGUUCAGUGCUUUGGCGCAAUGUAUUUUGUUUAAAGCGCUAUAUAAAUAAAGGUGAUUGAUUGAUUGA